CUACGGGCUGCACCAGUGGGGAAUAUUGCACAAUGGGCGCAAGCCUGAUGCAGCCAUGCCGCGUGUAUGAAGGAGGCCUUCGGGUUGUAAAGUACUUUCAGCGGGGAGGAAGGGAGUAAAGUUAAUACCUUUGCUCAUUGACGUUACCCGCAGAAGAAGCAACGGCUAACUCCGUGCCAGCAGCCGCGGUAAUACGGAGGGUGCAAGCGGUAAUCGGAAUUACUGGGCGUAAAGCGCACGCAGGCGGUUUGUUAAGUCAGAUGUGAAAUCCCCGGGCUCAACCUGGGAACUGCAUCUGAUACUGGCAAGCUUGAGUCUCGUAGAGGGGGGUAGAAUUCCAGGUGUAGCGGUGAAAUGCGUAGAGAUCUGGAGGAAUACCGGUGGCGAAGGCGGCCCCCUGGACGAAGACUGACGCUCAGGUGCGAAAGCGUGGGGAGCAAACAGGAUUAGAUACCCCGGUAGUC
RNAcentral lists this ribosomal RNA (464 nucleotides) under uncultured bacterium. RNAcentral describes it as "partial 16S ribosomal RNA". It matches the Rfam family "Bacterial small subunit ribosomal RNA", at positions 339 to 795 of the family's 1533-position model. The record is from RNAcentral.